UUGUGCUCAGGGAAACAUUCACCUGCCAUCAGACCCACGACCAGAAGACAGAUCAGUGGGAUCUAGACAAAGUGACAGCAAAAGGAAGAGCGGACGCUGCGAGCCACAAACUUUUUUCUUUGCACCUGCUGGAAUUUAAAGGAGUAGACAUCAAGACACAAGGUCAUAGGAAAGUCUGGACGCUGAUGCAGCGAUGAGUCAGUCAGGGUCUACUGGAAGCAAGCAUGGAUCCUCCAAUGGAGGACCAAGCAAAAUGAGUGCAAAAGAUUUGUUUGAACAGAGGAAAAAAUACUCCAACUCAAAUGUCAUCAAGCACGAAACAUCUCAGUACAAUGUGGAG
Long non-coding RNA from Bufo gargarizans (Asiatic toad), 340 nucleotides. RefSeq lists it as uncharacterized. The record is from RefSeq and is a predicted model, not a curated record. The transcript has 4 exons. Lineage: Eukaryota; Metazoa; Chordata; Amphibia; Anura; Bufonidae.